GAUUAACGCUGGCGGCGUGCAUAACACAUGCAAGUCGAACGAUGAAACUUUUUUGAUUUCUUCGGAAUGAUUAAAAGUGGAUUAGUGGCGGACGGGUGAGUAACGCGUGAGUAACCUGCCUUAGAGAAGGGGAUAGCCUUUGGAAACGAAGAAUAAUACCCUAUGAAACCAUAACCUCGCAUGAGGAAUUGGUCAAAGAUUUAUCGCUCUAAGAUGGACUUGCGUCUGAUUAGUUAGUUGGUGGGGUAACGGCCCACCAAGACAGCGAUCAGUAGCCGGCUUGAGAGAGUGUACGGCCACAUUGGGACUGAGACACGGCCCAGACUCCUACGGGAGGCAGCAGUGGGGAAUUUUGCACAAUGGGGGAAACCCUGAUGCAGCGACGCCGCGUGAUUUAGAAGGCCUUCGGGUUGUAAAAAUCUUUUCUAUGGGAAGAAAAUGACAGUACCAUAGGAAUAAGGACCGGCUAAUUACGUGCCAGCAGCCGCGGUAAUACGUAAGGUCCGAGCGUUGUCCGGAAUCAUUGGGCGUAAAGGGUACGUAGGCGGGUAAGCAAGUUAGAAGUGAAAUCCUAUAGCUCAACUAUAGUAAGCUUUUAAAACUGCUCAUCUUGAGGUAUGGAAGGGAAAGUGGAAUUCCUAGUGUAGCGGUGAAAUGCGCAGAUAUUAGGAGGAAUACCGGUGGCGAAGGCGACUUUCUGGCCAUAACCUGACGCUGAGGUACGAAAGCGUGGGUAGCAAACAGG
RNAcentral lists this ribosomal RNA (745 nucleotides) under uncultured Anaerococcus sp. RNAcentral's name for it is "bacterial SSU rRNA". It matches the Rfam family "Bacterial small subunit ribosomal RNA", at positions 28 to 776 of the family's 1533-position model. Lineage: Bacteria; Bacillati; Bacillota; Tissierellia; Tissierellales; Peptoniphilaceae. The record is from RNAcentral.